GAUGAACGCUGGCGGCGUGCCUAAUACAUGCAAGUCGAGCGAACAGAUGAGGAGCUUGCUCCUCUGACGUUAGCGGCGGACGGGUGAGUAACACGUGGAUAACCUACCUAUAAGACUGGGAUAACUUCGGGAAACCGGAGCUAAUACCGGAUAAUAUAUUGAACCGCAUGGUUCAAUAGUGAAAGACGGUUUUGCUGUCACUUAUAGAUGGAUCCGCGCCGCAUUAGCUAGUUGGUAAGGUAACGGCUUACCAACGCAACGAUGCGUAGCCGACCUGAGAGGGUGAUCGGCCACACUGGAACUGAGACACGGUCCAGACUCCUACGGGAGGCAGCAGUAGGGAAUCUUCCGCAAUGGGCGAAAGCCUGACGGAGCAACGCCGCGUGAGUGAUGAAGGUCUUCGGAUCGUAAAACUCUGUUAUUAGGGAAGAACAAAUGUGUAAGUAACUAUGCACGUCUUGACGGUACCUAAUCAGAAAGCCACGGCUAACUACGUG
This 497-nucleotide ribosomal RNA is filed under the name uncultured bacterium. Its description in RNAcentral is "partial 16S ribosomal RNA". It matches the Rfam family "Bacterial small subunit ribosomal RNA", at positions 28 to 507 of the family's 1533-position model. The record is from RNAcentral.